This 645-nucleotide ribosomal RNA is filed under the name Salmonella enterica subsp. enterica serovar Matopeni. Its description in RNAcentral is "partial 23S ribosomal RNA". It matches the Rfam family "Bacterial large subunit ribosomal RNA", at positions 1 to 688 of the family's 2925-position model. The record is from RNAcentral. Lineage: Bacteria; Pseudomonadati; Pseudomonadota; Gammaproteobacteria; Enterobacterales; Enterobacteriaceae.
GGUUAAGCGACUAAGCGUACACGGUGGAUGCCCUGGCAGUCAGAGGCGAUGAAGGACGUGCUAAUCUGCGAUAAGCGCCGGUAAGGUGAUAUGAACCGUUAUAACCGGCGAUUUCCGAAUGGGGAAACCCAGUGUGACUCGUCACACUAUCAUUAACUGAAUCCAUAGGUUAAUGAGGCGAACCGGGGGAACUGAAACAUCUAAGUACCCCGAGGAAAAGAAAUCAACCGAGAUUCCCCCAGUAGCGGCGAGCGAACGGGGAGGAGCCCAGAGCCUGAAUCAGCAUGUGUGUUAGUGGAAGCGUCUGGAAAGGCGCGCGAUACAGGGUGACAGCCCCGUACACAAAAGCGCAUGUGCUGUGAGCUCGAUGAGUAGGGCGGGACACGUGGUAUCCUGUCUGAAUAUGGGGGGACCAUCCUCCAAGGCUAAAUACUCCUGACUGACCGAUAGUGAACCAGUACCGUGAGGGAAAGGCGAAAAGAACCCCGGCGAGGGGAGUGAAAAAGAACCUGAAACCGUGUACGUACAAGCAGUGGGAGCACCCUUUGGGGUGUGACUGCGUACCUUUUGUAUAAUGGGUCAGCGACUUAUAUUCUGUAGCAAGGUUAACCGUAUAGGGGAGCCGGAGGGAAACCGAGUCUUAAU